This 253-nucleotide ribosomal RNA is filed under the name uncultured bacterium. Its description in RNAcentral is "partial 16S ribosomal RNA". It matches the Rfam family "Bacterial small subunit ribosomal RNA", at positions 524 to 776 of the family's 1533-position model. The record is from RNAcentral.
UACGAAGGUGGCAAGCGUUGUUCGGAUUUACUGGGCGUACAGGGAGCGUAGGCGGUUGGGUCCGCCCUCCGUGAAAUCUCCAGGCUUAACCUGGAAAGUGCAGAGGGGACUGCUCGGCUAGAGGAUGGGAGAGGAGCGCGGAAUUCCCGGUGUAGCGGUGAAAUGCGUAGAGAUCGGGAGGAAGGCCGGUGGCGAAGGCGGCGCUCUGGAACAUUUCUGACGCUGAGGCUCGAAAGCGUGGGGAGCGAACAGG